This 255-nucleotide ribosomal RNA is filed under the name uncultured bacterium. Its description in RNAcentral is "partial 16S ribosomal RNA". It matches the Rfam family "Bacterial small subunit ribosomal RNA", at positions 524 to 776 of the family's 1533-position model. The record is from RNAcentral.
GACGAACCGUGCGAACGUUUGUUCGGAAUCACUGGGCUUAAAGGGCGCGUAGGCGGGCUCAAAAGUCAGGGGUGAAAUCCCACGGCUCAACCGUGGAAGUGCCUUUGAUUACUGAGAGGCUCGAGUCCGGGAGAGGUGAGUGGAACUGCGAGUGUAGAGGUGAAAUUCGUAGAUAUUCGCAAGAACACCAGUGGCGAAGGCGGCUCACUGGCCCGGUACUGACGCUGAGGUGCGAAAGCGUGGGGAGCAAACAGG